RNAcentral lists this ribosomal RNA (76 nucleotides) under bacterium CG_4_9_14_3_um_filter_33_26. The record is from RNAcentral.
UCCGGUGCUUUAAGCGAUGGGGAAACACCCGACCCCAUACCGAACUCGGAAGUUAAGCCCAUUAGAGCCGAUGGUA